This 301-nucleotide ribosomal RNA is filed under the name uncultured bacterium. RNAcentral describes it as "partial 16S ribosomal RNA". It matches the Rfam family "Bacterial small subunit ribosomal RNA", at positions 509 to 807 of the family's 1533-position model. The record is from RNAcentral.
CAGCAGCCACGGUAAUACGUAGGGUGCAAGCGUUAAUCGGAAUUACUGGGCGUAAAGCGUGCGCAGGCGGUUUGUUAAGACAGAUGUGAAAUCCCCGGGCUCAACCUGGGAACUGCAUUUGUGACUGGCAAGCUAGAGUCUGGCAGAGGGGGGUGGAAUUCCGCGUGUAGCAGUGAAAUGCGUAGAUAUGCGGAGGAACACCGAUGGCGAAGGCAGCCCCCUGGGCCAACACUGACGCUCAUGCACGAAAGCGUGGGGAGCAAACAGGAUUAGAUACCCGUGUAGUCCCUGUCUCUUAUAC